CUGUCACAACGGCUUCCUGACGUGACGGUCCGUAUGGAAUGGAGCA
Molecule: non-coding RNA, 46 nt
Filed under: unclassified sequences
Description: SAM-SAH-Weickhmann-2018 RNA
Rfam family: SAM/SAH riboswitch aptamer
Source: RNAcentral